Passer domesticus (house sparrow) is the source of this 4745-nucleotide long non-coding RNA. RefSeq lists it as uncharacterized. The record is from RefSeq and is a predicted model, not a curated record. NCBI's taxonomy places the organism in Eukaryota, Metazoa, Chordata, Aves, Passeriformes, Passeridae. The transcript is spliced from 5 exons.
CUCACUGAAAUAAAUCAGUUCUUUACCAGGAAUCCACCCUACUGACACAUGAGCAGUUCACAAACUUUGCUCAGACAAGGAAAUCAUGCCAUGCAGGAAGGGGAAGUUUACAUUUAAUUAAUUUACCUGGAAAAUGAAAAGAACAGAAAAGAGAGAGAAGUUUUCCAGGAGGCAGAAGAGCAGCUGGAGCGCAGCGGACAGAAUCCCACCGCAGCCCAGCUGUGCCGCAUUCGGUUGCGUUGUGCCGGGGGCAAUGCCUGUGCUAGCAUCAGAAUUAUCCCCUGCGCUGAAGGACCUCGAACACCGAAAGCGCACAUUAGCCAACAUCUAAUGGACAGAGAAAAAGUUUAAAGGCUCAGAGGCUCCCCACAGAGAACAGAGUGAAUAAGUAAUGGAUACAUGCAGUUCCUUGCCACUUUCAUACUACGUGGCUUCCAUUAAUUUCUCACAGAAAUGGGCUCAAGUCACUGGUGAAGCUGCAGUGAGGUGAGCCAGGGUGUGGAUUUCUGGAAGCUCAACCACUUCACCCAUGAAUGACCUUGUUCCACAGCCAACAUAGGUUCAGAUAACAGUUCCUGGACAUGGAUAUGAAUGUGUCUGACAUCAAAUGGUUACACAGCUGGACCUCCGUUUACAAAUCAUUUGCUCAGAGCAGUUUGCUGAUGGCAAGGUAGAAAAUAUGCAAGCAUUUUCUUCACCAUGGUACUCAGUGCAUUUUGAAUGUCCAGCAAAGCACAGACAUGGCUCUGGCAGCAGCUGCAAGUGGCAGUUUCCAUCACCCUUGCUGGUUAUAGUAAACUCUAGAAGUGCACUCUUCCUGCUGUGAGGUGAAUAGACAUUAUAACACCACUUUAUUAACAAUAUGUGAUACAUAAAAGUUACUUAAUAUUUUGGUAUUAAAACUGCAAUUAAAUUUCCAUUCUAUUGAGUAAUUCUCACAGAAUUAAUUUUAAAAGAUGUACAUAUUUAUCUCUGCAAAUAAUUAAAUUAUUUCCUCCAGCAGUGCCCAAUGAAAUCUUCUAUAUAAAUCUGGAAAUAUUAUUUCCUUUAAAAUUUUCCAUUAUAGUGUUUUACAGAUCUCUUUCUUGUCAUUGCACCACUAUGAAACAUCUCUGUUUUUCCUUCAGCUCACCAUCAGCUCCCAUUUGAAAAGUCUGUAAAUUCUGUGCUCCUCUAAAAUCUAUAGAUAAUUGAUUCCAGGAGUAUGUGUCCACAGCAAACUGUGUAGCUGCAGUUCCACUUCAUUUAACAAUAUACAGUUCUUUGUUAGGUAGAGAUCAAAGAAUAUAAUUUUAUUAAGUUUCAAUUGCCAGAUUGGAAAAGAAUGGGCUUGUUUUAUUCAAAAAAAAAAAAAAAGGGCAGGCCAAAUGUUUUUCUAAUAGAAUUUAGAGUGCAAAAGGAGGUAAAACAAAACUAAAAGCAAUUUAUAUAUAUCUUGAAGUAAUUUUCAACCAACAACAGCCUUAAUAUAUACUGCAUUCAAAAUAUUUUUAUCAUUACCAUAGAACAGUGUCAUUACCAAACAAUAGUAAGGGAGAAAAAGUCUUGAGAAAUGCAGAAGUAGCAAGGAUUUGCCACAAUGUGUAGCUCAGGAAAAAAAAAAAAGUUGGAUGGAAAAUAAAAAGUGAGGUUACAUUUAAUUCUGUGUUACACUUCUAUGCCUCUGACUUCAUGCGCUUGAGCAAUUUUGAGUCAAAGUUACUUUGUGUCUAACAGAACUACCAAUUAACAUGUAUAAGUGUUUGCAGGAUCAGGUCUUGCCUUUGUAGAGGAUGGCUAAAGCCUGGGAGCAGGGAAAUCCCUGAUGGCUCAAGCACAAUGCAGGACAUCACUUCUGCAAACACAUGGUCCUUGUACACCUGUGUGAGGGUGAUACCUCGGUGGCACUGGGUUCAGAACACUCUGAACCAUCCCAAAGGGCUUCUCUGGCUGAAAUGUCCCCUUUGUUGGUUUUUGUUUUGGUUUUUUUUUUCAAUUAAGAGAAAACAUUUGCACAAUUGUUUAAAGAUCUUUACGGAAAACAUUUGAAAAACAGUUGAGAUGAAGAAUAGAUUAAAUAGAAAAAUCAGAACCGGAUGUCCUGGAAUGUAGCUGCCAAUAGCAGCUUUGUUUUGGAAUGGAGAAGUUCUCAUCUUUUCUUUGGUACUUUAUUGCUUCUGUUUUAGGUUUUGGAGGCCGGGGUAUUUGUUUCUGCUUGAAAGCUUGGUAGAGAUAAAAAGCAGAGCCCAGCCUUCCUUCACUGUAAAUUAAGUGGUUGUGGAAUGUGCAAUCAUCUAAAAAAUUUGACACUGAUGUGUACCAUGGAACAGCUUAAAUAAUUUUGGAUAUUGACUCAAAUAAAGUUUAUUUAUCUAGUUUAUUAUUCUGUGUGACAAAACAGCAUAAUCCCUGAUACUUAUUCAUUUUAUAAAGUCAGGUUUUUAGCUCUGGUUUCUUUAAAAUGAGGUUCAUGUUCAGAGUGUGUAGAGUUAAAAAACUGGACUAAUUAUUGUACAAUGGGGCAUUAUAAUUAGUGCAGAUAACAACUGCUUGCCCAAGAGUUUUAAAACAAACAAACAACAAAACAGUAAACAAAUAAAUAAAUCCUGACAAAGUGCAAGUGGUUGGACAACAAAUUGUUUUUUGCAGUUUUGUGUUGAAAAUUCUAAGCAGUAUGAAGAAAGUACACACUUUGAAAUGAAAACUUUUACAUUUUUCAUUUCUUUGUAUUGAAAUGACUUCUUAAGCCAUUUUUCAAAUAGUCCAAAAUUCAAGAUCUGAAUGAUUAUUUAAUUUCCUCCAAAUAAAGUGUUCAAAAGUAAAUAUUAAAGAAUCAUUAUUUUUCUUUUAAUCAAAGAACUAUUGCAUUUUCAGAUUGAAAAAUAUCCAAGAGGAAUUUCCUUACAUUCUUUUCAUAGACUUCUAACCUCUUCAAAAAACUCAAAGUGAACAUCAAACCAGGGCAAAUAAAUUCUUUUACAAACUGUGCUGCGAAAACAAAAAAAAAUAUGUUAACUUUGUCAUAACUUUGUCUGUCACUGUGCCAGGAUGAAAACUGUUUCAUUUCAUGCCCAACAAAAGUAGUUGUUUUUUUUACUCCCCAGUAUAAUCUAGAAAAGACAGUUUUUAUUGUCUUUUGUUUAAUUUUUAUUUCAGACUUAUUUUUGUUAAGCAGAAUGUCAAGAUACCUGGUUUUGGAGCAAGUUUAACAUCUUUAUCUAUUGUUACCAUUUUCCGUAUACCUUCCUCUUUUUUUUCUCAAUAAAAUUGGCAGAAGAGGAUUAUUUUGGCAAAACUGGAGAUAAUCACACUUCAUUAAAUUAACUGAGUAUUUUAAAUUAAUGUAAGUAAUCAUAUUUGACAUGUUCUAUUGCAAUACUAUUUCUGUGUCUCAGGCUAAUUUUCACAGUGUCUUUGGGGUUUUUUUGAGCAAAACAAACUGGCAAAUAGAAGUCUGUAUUAAUUUCUCCUCAUUUUAGAAAUAUAACAUGGAGUACUUAUGGUAUGUGUGCAUUAGGAUCACAGUUUCCCUGAGUUCUGUCUACAGUAAAAGAAGGUAGACAGGAACCACCAGAGGGAGGUUGAGCCCAUGGAAGGCCUAUACCAAAGUGGCAUAUAAAACAGAAGUGUUUCUGGAAGGGAAUAUAGAAGAAAAAAAAUAACGAGGAAGAGAAAAGGAAAAAAAUAAUAAUAACUCAAAAAAUUGACAUUGUUUUAUGAUAUAAAUGUUUGGUUCAUGUACAGUUUGAUCAUUGUGUCCUCAUCCCCUCAUCUCUAAGAGAUUACAGCAACAUAGUUAGAGAGAGACAAGGAAGAUAAAAAUAGGCACUGAAGUAGAAAUACUUACUCCAAAGGAAACAUGAAAUUUCGCUUAGAGUCUUCAGCCUGAGGAAGAUCUUGCAGAAAUAGGUACUAUUAUGUCCCUCAAAGGAGUUGAACUUGGAGGAAAUGGUCACUGUUCCUCAUUUUUUUUCAAAUCAUUUGGAUUUUACCAAAUAAGAUAAACCCAUGGCAGACUUGAAAAAAAAAAUGUGGGGGGGGGGUAUGUAACAAUAAGAAAUAAAAUGUCAGAACUCAUUGCAAUGUGAUGCAGGAGUAGGUUUGAGAUCAGGCACACUCAUGGCAUAGAAAUAAUUCAAAGCUCUCAGAUAUGGGGCUGUGGAUGUUUGGUCUGACUCUCUCUUACCCUCCUUAUUUUGUUUUUCUGCAUAGGUUUCUGUGGCCCGCAAGUGACGGGCAUAGGAAGCUUUAACUCUGGCUCUAUAAUGUUCAGCAAUGUUUCUAAAGGUGAUGAAGUUUUAAAGCACUGCCUUGCCUCAUUUAGAAAAUCUGUGGUGCAGCAGGGCAACUCACUCCAAGUCUACAGCUAGCAACCAAAGACAUCCAUCAUGUCUAAACAACAUUGGGGUUUUUUUUUUAACUUAAACAGCUUUUUCCUGGAGUUCAAGCAAUUAUUCACAGGCUGGGAGGAAGGCAUCUGCAGUCACUUGGAGGAUUUGGUCUCCUGCACGGCCAUAUGAGACACUUCAGUCAGCUUGUGGGCACAAACAUAAUUUCAGAAUUUCAUGUGUAUAUAUCUAUGUUAUCAUAUUCUUUCACUGUGAAAGCAGUAACUACUGUAUGUGGUAAAAUGAUAUAUUGUUGUCCGCAAAAUGUCUUUGGCAACAGGAUGUUCACUAGCCUUGGAAUUUUGCCUUGUAUAAAUAUUUUUAAUCUACUCCAUGUAGGCAUAUUUUGGCUGCAAAAUAAAGGGUUUUGGAGAUUAA